GCUACCCAAGCUAAUUAGAAGAGGUGGAGAACUUAUUCAGUUUAGGAUUACAAUGCAAAAUGGUCUUUCUCUAAUACAAUACUCUUGACCACAUUGUUUGGUUUGGUAGUUUAAACAUGUCUACUAUCCAAAGUGAUUCUUUUACCUAUAUGAUUACCUUGAUUGUGAUUUGGAACGACUUCCUAAAUCUCAUUCAUACUCUGGCCAAAGAUUCUUAAUCAUAUCAUAGAGUAUUCUCCCUUAAACAGUUUGAAGGUUAGAGAUCCCUUGUUGUGCAUUCACUUGCCUCCAUGGUUAUCAUAGAGUAUUCUCCCUCAAAUGGUUUGAAGGUUAGAGAUCCCUUGUUGUGCAUUCACUUGCCUCCAUGGCUAAGUGGCUUAACCCUAACUAUGUUGUGGAUGCCCCCUGACGGAGUGACUUUGAUAUAGUCAAAGAUCAAGGACCUAACCACAAGAUAACUAUGAUGCCUCAGGUCAAAUGACUACUUUACAUUAUCCCAACCAUGAGUUCUCAUGUGACAUGAGUAUGAGAACUCUUUGUUGAUCGUGUUCAGUAGACUCAUUCUUUAUUAAACACCUACAUGCUUGUCUUGGUGUCAGUCAUACCAAUGACUCAAGACUAGUCAUUCUCUCUAAGAGAAGACAUAGCAUGUACUGAUCUUAACGGACUGUCAAUGCCCAAUUGGCAAUCCUAUGAUCAGGAACGUUUAGGAUAUGUAUACAAAAGAGAUUGGUCUCAUGAAUCUAACUUCCUUAUAUCACAUUCUCCCAAUUGCAUAUUCCUUGGACUUAUUGUUUAAGCAUAUAACAUUUAUAUGAGAUGGCUUAAAACAAUAAUCUUUACCCUUUAUAUUAAACUAGAUUAGUUUAACAUGUGAAAUGUCCGUAAAGUAUCAUCAUAUGAUUGGUUUUAGGGCACAUUUUCAACAAAUAUCUCAUAAAACGUAUUCAUUAAAAUCAUGCUUUUCAUGUAUGCAUUUCUACUAUUAAAACAUGCAUUUUAGAAGGGGUCCACUCACAGAUACUCCAUCGUCAAAGAGCCGUACAAAAUAGGAAUGACGGAAUCGUCUCUAAUAUUCGCACCUAAGCACAUAAAAGGUACAAUUAAUAAAAUUAUACUCAAACGAUUGAAUUUCAGGAACGGACGUCAUAAACGGAUUCAGGACGUCGAAAAACAUA
This 1178-nucleotide long non-coding RNA is filed under the name Malus domestica (apple). Its description in RNAcentral is "long non-coding RNA (MDOM_LNC015621)". The record is from RNAcentral. Lineage: Eukaryota; Viridiplantae; Streptophyta; Magnoliopsida; Rosales; Rosaceae.